Molecule: non-coding RNA, 24 nt
Filed under: Rattus norvegicus (Norway rat)
Lineage: Eukaryota; Metazoa; Chordata; Mammalia; Rodentia; Muridae
Source: RNAcentral
AGGAUUAAAGUUGGGUACAGAGAG